GCCGAGGUUGCCGAGUGGACUAAGGCGCCGGCCUUGAGAGCCGGUGUCCCGUGAGGGACGCAAGGGUUCAAAUCCCUUCCUCGGCG
This 86-nucleotide transfer RNA is filed under the name Candidatus Methanoxibalbensis ujae. RNAcentral describes it as "tRNA-Ser". It matches the Rfam family "tRNA". Rfam says of the family: Transfer RNA (tRNA) molecules are approximately 80 nucleotides in length. The record is from RNAcentral. Lineage: Archaea; Methanobacteriati; Methanobacteriota; Methanomicrobia; Candidatus Methanophagales; Candidatus Methanospirareceae.